This 755-nucleotide ribosomal RNA is filed under the name Piloderma sp. 331 VM-2015. RNAcentral's name for it is "eukaryotic LSU rRNA". The stretch from base 258 to 412 matches the Rfam family "5.8S ribosomal RNA". The record is from RNAcentral. Lineage: Eukaryota; Fungi; Basidiomycota; Agaricomycetes; Atheliales; Atheliaceae.
UCUUGGUCAUUUAGAGGAAGUAAAAGUCGUAACAAGGUUUCCGUAGGUGAACCUGCGGAAGGAUCAUUAUUGAAAUUACCGGCGAGGGUUGUAGCUGGCCUUUCGGGGCAUGUGCACACCCGAGCCUUUAAUCCAACAUACACCUGUGAACCCAAUGUAAGGGCCCGUAAAAAGGCCCCUACGUCUUUAUCACCAACUCUGUAUUCAUAGAAUGUAAUCCAUAUCUUCGCCUUAACAAGCGUUGGUAAAACUUAUACAACUUUCAACAACGGAUCUCUUGGCUCUCGCAUCGAUGAAGAACGCAGCGAAAUGCGAUAAGUAAUGUGAAUUGCAGAUUUUCAGUGAAUCAUCGAAUCUUUGAACGCACCUUGCGCCCCUUGGUAUUCCGAGGGGCAUGCCUGUUUGAGUGUCAUUAAAUUCUCAACUCCGAUUUGAUUUGUUUCUUAUCGGAGGUUGGACUUUGGAGCGUGCUGGCGUAAGGUCGGCUCCUCUUAAAUGUAUCAGCGGAAUCUAACCUUUGGAUUCUGGACAUCGGUGUGAUAAUAAAAGUUGCGCCGUCGUUCUACUUCAAAGUCCGCUUACAAUGGUCUUUGGACAAACUCUUAUCAAAUUUGACCUCAAAUCAGGUAGGACUACCCGCUGAACUUAAGCAUAUCAAUAAGCGGAGGAAAAGAAACUAACAAGGAUUCCCCUAGUAACUGCNNUAAGCGGGAAAAGCUCAAAUUUAAAAUCUGGCGGUCUCCGGCCGUCCGAGU